GCGUGAGAUGCCCUUGUCUGGGUGUUUAACCUUUGCUAUGAAUGUUGUUUGCCUACUUUGUUUUAGCGCAGAGGCUAAGAGACGUCCGCAUUUGCCUCCGGAGUAGAAGUAGGAGUGUUUGAUGCGUAGUAGUGUGCGUUGGACCUGUGUAUUUAAUAUUUGUUGCAGCGCCUUAUAUGUCUGGAAGGAGUCUUUACUGUGGUGGACUGCCUCCAGAGCCCGUAUAUCCUCUG
This is a non-coding RNA of Pelobates cultripes (western spadefoot toad), 233 nucleotides long. NCBI's taxonomy places the organism in Eukaryota, Metazoa, Chordata, Amphibia, Anura, Pelobatidae. The record is from the annotation of a GenBank genome assembly.